UAUACCUAACAUGUAUUCUGUCCAUUUAAAGCACAUAAAAGAAGCAUAAACAAUUGUUUGAAACGCACAUCACAGACCGUGCUUAUGUUGGUAUUCAAAACUUUGCGGCAAAAUGUAGCAUUGCUUUUGUUUGUUGUCUUGGUAACUACAAAAUUAUUUCCUGUUACAUAUAAAAUGACGAUAGAACUGCCCGUUUUUCGUUUAUACAUAUAUGACGGAAGGCUAACUGAGUGUUAACAAUGACGGGCAGAUUUGUUUUCAAACUGUGUAUCAACUACAAACUCGACCAAUGAUCUCUCUGACGCUAGGUGGCAGUGUGUCGGGAACAGCGAUGUAAAUGCAGCAGACUAAAAACAACGACGAAACGUUUGCUUUCUCCUGCUGUAGCGUUUCUGUACGCGGGGAUUUUGAGAUCGCAGUGUUUACUCUCGCGAAAUUUAGUCUUAUGAGAAAGCAUCUGUGAAAAUGCUGCUGAAGAAUAUCUGCUUCCGUCCAAUUACAUUUGAGCCGUAAUAGAAGUGGCUAUGUUUAUAUGCAGCUGUCACAGUCAUAUGAGAGGUUUUUUAAGAUUUGAUACCCGUAGAGCUGCUUUGUGAUAUUGGAUUCUCCGAAGAAAAAUCGUUUUUAGUUAUGUUAUUUUAUUCACUUACGGUCCACGAUGAUUAAGUGUAAAUCCAGCAAAUCUUCCAUGGUCAGUGGAGUUCAGUCAAACAUUUCUGCCUUUUUCGUCUCAAAGGUUUCACCAAAGUCACCUACAAAAAUGGCAGCUGGAAUUACAAGAGUCCCUGUUUCAGUGAAGACUGGUUUUGUGCAGGAUAAAAGUGUCCCCUGCUCUCCAACCCCUCCUGCUGUCCCAGAGACACCUGACAGUCUGAGGAGCGAGAACCCUUCAGACACUUCAUAUGAGAACCGCUCACCGGUCUCCCGUGGCCUGCUUACUAAAGGUGUCAGGGGUAAACCUAGCCUGAUGGCACGCAAGCUGAUGCAGCUGCAGAGAAACAGCAGUCUAGAGCCAAAAGACUCUUUUGAGCUUAAGAAUGGAGUAAGUCACUCUGGCUCUGUGAAGAGGUUGUUGCACAGCUCUGAGAACAUCCAGAGUGCAAAGCAGUCCAGGACCAUGCAAGUUCAGAAGCUUCCCGAUUGUGACACAGGCUUACCAAGGGCCCCUCAAAAGGAGUCUUCAGGGACUUUACAGAGAGCAUUCUCAAAGAGUCCAGAGAAAAAAAACAAAGCUGAGUCUAUCAGUUUUGAAAGUAGCCGAUUGGCAACUGGGCCUUGCGUUAAAAAAAAAGGAAAAUAA
Molecule: long non-coding RNA, 1300 nt
Organism: Cyprinus carpio (common carp)
Lineage: Eukaryota; Metazoa; Chordata; Actinopteri; Cypriniformes; Cyprinidae
Source: Ensembl